RNAcentral lists this long non-coding RNA (342 nucleotides) under Olea europaea subsp. europaea. The record is from RNAcentral. Lineage: Eukaryota; Viridiplantae; Streptophyta; Magnoliopsida; Lamiales; Oleaceae.
CUUCAUUCAAUAAAAAACGCUCUCCUUCUCCCCAAAAUCACUUUCUUUUUUCUUUCUUUUUCUUUUGAGGCCCAUUUCGUUUUCUCUCUCAACAAUUCCUAAUUAAUUUUCAAACCCCAGAAAGUAUUUAUCCCUUUUGAUUGAGUAAAAUCACAAUCAUUUAAAAAAUGGAGAACCAGAGGUUGAAGCAGUAGCAACAAGCGUUGAUUGAACAGGCUCCCCUUCAACAGCGAUCUCUUUAUCAUCUGGCCUUUUAACUCCUGCUCGCCAUGUUUAACUUUUUCUUUUUUCUUUUUUUUUAUUUGAAUAUUUAUCAUUUUUUGUUAACUGCGUUUGCUGAGG